Molecule: ribosomal RNA, 238 nt
Filed under: uncultured bacterium
Lineage: Bacteria
Description: partial 16S ribosomal RNA
Rfam family: Bacterial small subunit ribosomal RNA
Source: RNAcentral
GGACGAACGCUGGCGGCGUGCUUAACACAUGCAAGUCGAGCGGUAAGGCCCUUUCGGGGGUACACGAGCGGCGAACGGGUGAGUAACACGUGGGUGACCUGCCCUCAGCUCUGGGAUAAGCCUGGGAAACCGGGUCUAAUACUGGAUAUGACUCCAUGACGCAUGUUGUGGGGUGAAAGCCUUGUGCGGCUGAGGAUGGGCCCGCGGCCCAUCAGCUCGUUGGUGGGGUGANGGCCUA